UACGUAGGUGGCAAGCGUUGUCCGGAUUUAUUGGGUUUAAAGGGUGCGUAGGCGGCCCUGUAAGUCAGUGCUGAAAUAUCCCGGCUUAACCGGGAGGGUGGCAUUGAUACUGCAGGGCUUGAGUACAGAUGAGGUAGGCGGAAUUGACGGUGUAGCGGUGAAAUGCAUAGAUAUCGUCAAGAACACCGAUAGCGAAGGCAGCUUACUAAGCUGUAACUGACGCUGAGGCACGAAAGUGUGGGGAUCAAACAGGAUUAGAUACCCCCGUAGUCC
This 273-nucleotide ribosomal RNA is filed under the name uncultured bacterium. Its description in RNAcentral is "partial 16S ribosomal RNA". It matches the Rfam family "Bacterial small subunit ribosomal RNA", at positions 524 to 796 of the family's 1533-position model. The record is from RNAcentral.